This 57-nucleotide transfer RNA is filed under the name Parasarpa dudu (white commodore). RNAcentral describes it as "tRNA-Glu". The record is from RNAcentral. Lineage: Eukaryota; Metazoa; Arthropoda; Insecta; Lepidoptera; Nymphalidae.
GUUUAAAUAAAACUUUACAUUUUCAUUGUAAAAAUAAAAAAAAUUUUUUUAUAAAUA